This 508-nucleotide ribosomal RNA is filed under the name uncultured bacterium. Its description in RNAcentral is "partial 16S ribosomal RNA". It matches the Rfam family "Bacterial small subunit ribosomal RNA", at positions 28 to 523 of the family's 1533-position model. The record is from RNAcentral.
GAUGAACGCAAGCAACAGGCUUAACACAUGCAAGUCGCGGGGAAACGAUAGCGAAAGCUUGAUUUUUCUAGGCGUCGACCGGCGCACGGGUGAGUAACGAGUAUCCAACCUGCCCACCAAUUGGGGAUAACCUUGCGAAAGUAAGACUAAUAUCCAAUGAUAUCUCAAGAACAAAGCUGAAUGAGAUCAAAGCUUUAUCGGUGAUGGAUGGGGAUGCGACUGAAUAGCUUGUUGGCGGGGUAACGGCCCACCACGGCGACGUUCAGUAGGGGUUCUGAGAGGAAGGUCCCCCACAUUUGAACUGAGACACGGUCCAAACUCCUACGGGAGGCAGCAGUGAGGAAUAUUGGUCAAUGGGCGAGAGCCUGAACCAGCCAAGUAGCGUGCAGGAUGACGGCCCUAUGGGUUGUAAACUGCUUUUAUAAGGGAAUAAAGUGAGUCUCGUGAGGCUUUUUGCAUGUACCUUAUGAAUAAGGACCGGCUAAUUCCGUGCCAGCCGCCGCAGUAA